This 94-nucleotide microRNA precursor is filed under the name Echinops telfairi (small Madagascar hedgehog). Its description in RNAcentral is "miRNA (ENSETEG00000024130.1)". Lineage: Eukaryota; Metazoa; Chordata; Mammalia; Afrosoricida; Tenrecidae. The record is from RNAcentral.
GGCAUGGAGGCAUGCCCAUGAAGAGAGCAGCGGCACCAACAGUUCUGGGGAGACCUGGGGGGUGAGGGUGGUGGGGGAAGGGGGAGGUGAGCAG